This 492-nucleotide ribosomal RNA is filed under the name uncultured bacterium. Its description in RNAcentral is "partial 16S ribosomal RNA". It matches the Rfam family "Bacterial small subunit ribosomal RNA", at positions 30 to 507 of the family's 1533-position model. The record is from RNAcentral.
AUUGGACGCUGGCGGCAUGCUUUACACAUGCAAGUCGAACGGUAACAGGCCUUCGGGUGCUGACGAGUGGCGAACGGGUGAGUAAUGCAUCGGAACGUGCCCAGAGGUGGGGGAUAACGCAGCGAAAGCUGUGCUAAUACCGCAUGUGAUCUGAGGAUGAAAGCGGGGGACCAGGCAGCAAUGUUUGGCCUCGCGCCUUUGGAGCGGCCGAUGUCCGAUUAGGUAGUUGGUGGGGUAAAGGCCUACCAAGCCGACGAUCUGUAGCUGGUCUGAGAGGACGACCAGCCACACUGGGACUGAGACACGGCCCAGACUCCUACGGGAGGCAGCAGUGGGGAAUUUUGGACAAUGGGCGCAAGCCUGAUCCAGCAAUGCCGCGUGCGGGAAGAAGGCCUUCGGGUUGUAAACCGCUUUUGUACGGAACGAAAAGGCUCUGGCUAAUACCUGGGGCUGAUGACGGUACCGUAAGAAUAAGCACCGGCUAACUACGUG